This 735-nucleotide ribosomal RNA is filed under the name uncultured fungus. RNAcentral describes it as "LSU rRNA". It matches the Rfam family "Eukaryotic large subunit ribosomal RNA", at positions 23 to 664 of the family's 3401-position model. Lineage: Eukaryota; Fungi. The record is from RNAcentral.
ACCCGCUGAACUUAAGCAUAUCAGUAAGCGGAGGAAAAGAAACUAACAAGGAUUCCCCUAGUAACGGCGAGCGAAGCGGGAAGAGCUCAAAUUUAAAAUCUGGUAGGCCUAGCCUACCCGAAUUGUAGUUUAAAGAGGCGUUAUCUGGCCUUUGCCCAGUGCUCAAGUCCCUUGGAAUAGGGCGUCACAGAGGGUGAGAACCCCGUCUGGGCACUGAGUAAAGGUCUAUAUGAGGCGUUCUCUACGAGUCGGGUUGUUUGGGAAUGCAGCUCAAAAUGGGUGGUAAAUUUCAUCUAAGGCUAAAUACUGGCAAGAGACCGAUAGCGAACAAGUACCGUGAGGGAAAGAUGAAAAGCACCUUGAAAAGGGAGUUAAAUAGUGCGUGAAAUUGUUAAAAGGGAAACGAUUGGGACCAGUAUUGCUGUUGGUCGUUCAGCAACGUGUUGGUGCAAGCCUGUACGUUGUGCAUUCGAUCAGCGGCGAGUCAGCGUCAGUUUGGGCUUCCGGAGAGAGGUCAGAGGAAGAUGGGGCUGGUCUUCGGGCCAACCUUUUAUAGACUCUGGCUGGCACGGGAGCCUGGACUGAGGUGUGCGACCGUAGUACUCACAGCUUGAAACUCGUCCCCAAAGUUUAGGACUGCACGCAGACCUCGACUGUAAGGAAGGGAGGUAGGGCUGUGCAUACGGUUCCAGGAUGCUGACGAAAUGGUCUUAAACGACCCGUCUUGAAACACGG